RNAcentral lists this unclassified non-coding RNA (404 nucleotides) under Hevea brasiliensis (rubber tree). Lineage: Eukaryota; Viridiplantae; Streptophyta; Magnoliopsida; Malpighiales; Euphorbiaceae. The record is from RNAcentral.
GGACCUCAUUGUAGGGCUGUUUUUCCUUUUCUGAAUUCCCCAAUUCAUGUGCUACAAUUUGCAACUUCUGGUGCCAAACUUGCUGUAGGUUUUGAAUGUGGUAGGGUGAGUAUCAUCCAUCUUUUAUUCAUGCUUGUUUCCCAAUUACUUUUCUGCUAAAUUUUCAUGUGAUUUUAGCUUUCCUUGUUCAGAUGGAUUUUAAAUUUGAUGUUUCUAUUUCACAUGGCAGUGCUUGACAUGAAUUCAUUAUCAGUUCUCUUCUUACGGACUGUGUAUCGAGUUCCUUUUCUCCUGUCAUUUCAGAUAGCUAGACAAUUUGUGAAAAUAUUGGUAUUCUUGUAAAAAGUCAAAAGCAAUUAACAUUUUAGCGAACCCCUGUGGAGGAAGUCAUGUUUUUCUUAACC